AUUGAACGCUGGCGGCAGGCCUAACACAUGCAAGUCGAGCGGAUGAAGGGAGCUUGCUCCUGGAUUCAGCGGCGGACGGGUGAGUAAUGCCUAGGAAUCUGCCUUGUCGUUGGGGAUAACGUCCGGAAACGGGCGCUAAUACCGCAUACGUCCUGAGGUAGAAAGUGGGGGAUCUUCGGACCUCACGCUAUCAGAUGAGCCUAGGUCGGAUUAGCUAGUUGGUGGGGUAAAGGCCUACCAAGGCGACGAUCCGUAACUGGUCUGAGAGGAUGAUCAGUCACACUGGAACUGAGACACGGUCCAGACUCCUACGGGAGGCAGCAGUGGGGAAUAUUGGACAAUGGGCGAAAGCCUGAUCCAGCAAUGCCGCGUGUGUGAAGAAGGUCUUCGGAUUGUAAAGCACUGUAAGUUGGGAGGAAGGGCAGUAAGUUAAUACCUUGCUGUUUUGACGUUACCAACAGAAUAAGCACCGGCUAACUUCGUG
RNAcentral lists this ribosomal RNA (484 nucleotides) under uncultured bacterium. RNAcentral's name for it is "partial 16S ribosomal RNA". It matches the Rfam family "Bacterial small subunit ribosomal RNA", at positions 30 to 507 of the family's 1533-position model. The record is from RNAcentral.